Molecule: ribosomal RNA, 624 nt
Filed under: Edwardsiella anguillarum
Lineage: Bacteria; Pseudomonadati; Pseudomonadota; Gammaproteobacteria; Enterobacterales; Hafniaceae
Description: bacterial SSU rRNA
Rfam family: Bacterial small subunit ribosomal RNA
Source: RNAcentral
UAAUACCGCAUAACGUCGCAAGACCAAAGUGGGGGACCUUCGGGCCUCAUGCCAUCAGAUGAACCCAGAUGGGAUUAGCUAGUAGGUGGGGUAAUGGCUUACCUAGGCGACGAUCCCUAGCUGGUCUGAGAGGAUGACCAGCCACACUGGAACUGAGACACGGUCCAGACUCCUACGGGAGGCAGCAGUGGGGAAUAUUGCACAAUGGGCGCAAGCCUGAUGCAGCCAUGCCGCGUGUAUGAAGAAGGCCUUCGGGUUGUAAAGUACUUUCAGUAGGGAGGAAGGUGUGAGCGUUAAUAGCGUUCACAAUUGACGUUACCUACAGAAGAAGCACCGGCUAACUCCGUGCCAGCAGCCGCGGUAAUACGGAGGGUGCAAGCGUUAAUCGGAAUUACUGGGCGUAAAGCGCACGCAGGCGGUUUGUUAAGUUGGAUGUGAAAUCCCCGGGCUUAACCUGGGAACUGCAUCCAAGACUGGCAAGCUAGAGUCUCGUAGAGGGAGGUAGAAUUCCAGGUGUAGCGGUGAAAUGCGUAGAGAUCUGGAGGAAUACCGGUGGCGAAGGCGGCCUCCUGGACGAAGACUGACGCUCAGGUGCGAAAGCGUGGGGAGCAAACAGGAUUAGAU